Molecule: transfer RNA, 67 nt
Filed under: bovine gut metagenome
Rfam family: tRNA
About the family: Transfer RNA (tRNA) molecules are approximately 80 nucleotides in length. Their secondary structure includes four short double-helical elements and three loops (D, anti-codon, and T loops).
Source: RNAcentral
CAGUAGCUCAAUGGAUAGAGCAACGGACUUCGGAUCCGUGGGUUGCAGGUUCGACUCCUGUUUGGCG